RNAcentral lists this ribosomal RNA (490 nucleotides) under bacterium Chibwantu25. RNAcentral describes it as "bacterial SSU rRNA". It matches the Rfam family "Bacterial small subunit ribosomal RNA", at positions 215 to 697 of the family's 1533-position model. RNAcentral also lists the same sequence under 1 other name. The record is from RNAcentral.
UCACUUUUGGAUGGUCCCGCGGCGUAUUAGCUAGAUGGUGGGGUAACGGCUCACCAUGGCAAUGAUACGUAGCCGACCUGAGAGGGUAAUCGGCCACAUUGGGACUGAGACACGGCCCAAACUCCUACGGGAGGCAGCAGUAGGGAAUCUUCCACAAUGGACGAAAGUCUGAUGGAGCAACGCCGCGUGAGUGAAGAAGGGUUUCGGCUCGUAAAACUCUGUUGUUAAAGAAGAACAUAUCUGAGAGUAACUGUUCAGGUAUUGACGGUAUUUAACCAGAAAGUCACGGCUAACUACGUGCCAGCAGCCGCGGUAAUACGUAGGUGGCAAGCGUUGUCCGGAUUUAUUGGGCGUAAAGCGAGCGCAGGCGGUUUUUUAAGUCUGAUGUGAAAGCCUUCGGCUCAACCGAAGAAGUGCAUCGGAAACUGGGAAACUUGAGUGCAGAAGAGGACAGUGGAACUCCAUGUGUAGCGGUGAAAUGCGUAGAUAU